Molecule: ribosomal RNA, 480 nt
Filed under: Triticum aestivum (bread wheat)
Lineage: Eukaryota; Viridiplantae; Streptophyta; Magnoliopsida; Poales; Poaceae
Description: partial small subunit ribosomal RNA
Source: RNAcentral
AUGAAUUCAAAGAAAGAUGAUUUGGAUGAUGUAUUGAAACUGGUAUCUUUCUUUAAAGACAUGAAUGCAAUCAAUGAUGUGUUUUUCUAUGACAUACAAGUAGACAAUGACAAAUCAGCUAAAAAUAUUUUCUGGUCCAAUGCAAGUUGCCAAGGAGUGUAUCAAGAGUUUGGCGAUUGCAUAACAUUCGACACAACUUACAAGACUAACAGAUUUCAUAUGCCUUUGCGAGUGUUUGUUGGAACAAACCAUCACUUAGAGUCAACGAUAUUUGUUGUUGCCCUGAUCGGAGACGAAGAUGCAAAGUCAUUCAAGCGGCUGUGCAUGAACAACAAACACCCAACUUGCAUUCUAACAGGUAAGUUCAAAAAAAGAACUCUACAAGUUUCAUCAAUUUUUCAGUCUAUGGACACUAUUAGGGAAAACCUUAUACACAGAAGUUUAUCAGUAGCGCGGUCUAAAAACGGGCGCUACUGCUAA